GCCUACGGGGGGCAGCAGUAGGGAAUCUUCCACAAUGGGCGAAAGCCUGAUGGAGCAACGCCGCGUGGGUGAAGAAGGUCCUCGGAUCGUAAAACCCUGUUGUUAGAGAAGAAAGUGCGUGAGAGUAACUGUUCACGUUUCGACGGUAUCUAACCAGAAAGCCACGGCUAACUACGCGCCAGCAGCCGCGGUAAUACGUAGGUGGCAAGCGUUAUCCGGAUUUAUUGGGCGUAAAGGGAACGCAGGCGGUCUUUUAAGUCUGAUGUGAAAGCCUUCGGCUUAACCGGAGUAGUGCAUUGGAAACU
RNAcentral lists this ribosomal RNA (305 nucleotides) under uncultured bacterium. Its description in RNAcentral is "bacterial SSU rRNA". It matches the Rfam family "Bacterial small subunit ribosomal RNA", at positions 337 to 634 of the family's 1533-position model. The record is from RNAcentral.